CGCCGCCGCGCCCGCCCCAGGUGGCGGCUGGUGCCGCGCACACAAAGCCGGCGCCGGGGCCGCAGCCGGGAGGAGCGGGGCUCUCGGAGGUGUCGCUGGUCGCCAGCGGCGAGGGCAGAAAGUCGGGCCCAGAUUGUGUCCUGCUUUCCUGCCCACAACUUGUGCCUGAUACACCAGACAACCAAUGAACAUUUUUGAAUCUGGACUCCAUAGAGUGAAAACUCUCCUUAUUCUAAGACAUUGAAAAAAGAGCUGUGGGACCUUUUUCCUGGAAAUGAAUUACAGUUUUCUGCCUUCUAUUAGUGCAAAACUUAGUAGUGAAGAUCCAUAUGAAAUGUCAAGGAUAGUUUUUCCAAGUAACAUCUUCAUUAACAUGGAAGUAUUUUGGUGUAAUACCAUUUUGCAUUCUGUCACGCAGCUAUCACUGGAUAUAAACAAGUGACUGCAUCUGGGAAUAUUGUUGUUUCAAAGAAAAUAUAAAAUUAUUAUGCAAUACUUCAGUCAAAUUUUGUCAGAUUGGUUGAUAUAUCUGAUAGAAUUAGACCAUCCAUGCACCAUGGAAACUGUUUCCAUAGCAAAAAAUCUCUUAGCUCAGAGACUGUUCGCCUGGAUUAAAUCCAAGGAUUUAAACUGAUAAUCCAGAGCUUUCUCUAACAGCUAGAAAGGUCAAUACUUAUGAGGAAAUUGCCACACAGCUCUCUGAAGGUUGUACCAUCCCACUGCUGGAAUAUAUUCUUACCCUCAAGAACAAGAGAAGUGUCAUGAUGUUUCCUUUCAUUUCACAUAUCUUUGAUGUUCCAAAUGCCAACAGGUGGUUUAGAGGCAGUGGCACAUCCUGCCAGUAUUUUCAGCUACCUGCCAGAAAUACAGAUAAUUGAUGUCAUAACAGAGUCUUCCUCUGUAAUGCCUCAAAAAACCCCAGUUACUCUACUGCAGAGAAACUACUUUUUGAGCCAUCUAGUGAGGGUAGAGAGAGUAAAAAGCAUAAAACAAUAAGGUCUUUCACAAUAGACACACCAUUACCUGUUUGAAAGCUGAUUAAGAAAGAAUCAUGGGGUCUUGAAUUUGUGGAUCGGCAUAUUAAUACAGCACAGGAAGGACACUGAUUAGGAUUUGUUAAGGGCCAAAUGAAAAAUAUAUGUUAUUUCCUAAAUAUCUCUCUAAUAAACAAAAAUAAAAACUGUAUUGAAUU
Molecule: long non-coding RNA, 1192 nt
Organism: Corvus hawaiiensis (hawaiian crow)
Lineage: Eukaryota; Metazoa; Chordata; Aves; Passeriformes; Corvidae
Exons: 2
Source: RefSeq, a predicted model, not a curated record